UAGCACGCCGGAAUAUUGCUGCACGGGAGCUUUCGAUAAGCCGGAAACUUGUCCUCCGACGGAUUACUCGAGGAUCUUCAAGAAAGCUUGUCCUAACGCUUACAGCUACGCCUAUGACGACGCAACAAGCACCUUCACUUGUUCCCGGUCUAACUACUUGAUCACUUUCUGCCCUUAAAAAUCCGGAGCUCUGGUUUAGACUCGGGUCGAGUUUGACUCCUUUAUUAUGUUUAUUUUGGUUUCUUGCUAUGUAAGGAAGAUGAAAUUAAAGAACAUGCUUAUAACUCAAAUAAAUGCAGGAGAUAAAGAGAAUAACUACAUAUACAGAUUUCUUCUUUUCUCCUAAAAGGCUAAAAGUGUUCAUUGAGUUUAAAAAAAAAUAACUACAAUAGGUUAUUAACUAUUAUUGUUGUCAAAAGGUAUAGCAUAUGAUUCAGUCGGUAAUAGAACUCAUCUUUUCAGGUAGCAUCUCCAUCUUGGUUUCUUUGCAUGCGUUUUUCUUGUUCAUAUGUCACCUUAUCUGAUUAGGUGCAACCGUGCAAGUGAGGUCAGGUUAGUUCUGAUAGAACCAAUUGAUACUUGUACAUGUAAUGAAUCAUAACCGUGUCAUCAUCUAUCAUGUUUUCUCAUGAGAUGCGUUCAACUUAUUAAUAACAUAUGCCAAAGAAGAUGGGCUGACAGCCGUAUUUAUAUAUUCUUUGAUUCAUAAAGAGAUAAAGAAGAUUGAAUACUCUAAUCUAACGUGUGUAUAUCAUCAGAUCUAGUAAACUUACUGAGUAUAUCAUAAUAGUACAACCCUGCAAGAAUACUAAAUCUUCUAAUGAACAGCAUUUCAGUAUAUAGCGUAUAUCCUUAGACAGUGUCAGUAACCGUAUAUCCUUGACAGUGUCCACAUCACACGAACAAACAAAGAAAAUCGAUUAAAAAUGGCGGGUACUCACAUUCUCUUCCUUCUGUUCAUCACAAGCAGUAACGACAAAAACAACUGUUUUCUAUUAUCGUUUCUUUCUCUGUUUCACUUUCACUUAUGUCUUAAUCUUCCUCCUUUGGCUAUUACAAUCUGAAUCAUCUACUUUUGCUAGCUGCAUUGCCGUUACCGCCACCGUCUUCGUCUUGGAGAACAGCUGCCCAGGAACUCUCUCCAUCAACAGCACCACCCUCGGCGACAGCUGGGUUCCCCUGACUCCUGGCGCUUCCGUACAGCUCAUUGCUCCUCCGGGAUGGUCAGGACGCUUCUGGGCUCGCACCGGCUGCUUGACUUUAAAAUAGAAUUUAUAUUCAUCAUUCAAAUUACAUGAAUUCUGUCUAGAUUUAAACUCUAUUAAAAUACAUAAUUGAAUAACACCUCUAAGGUUUUUGGUUACAAUAUACCAAAAAAAUAUCAUUAAUUUUAUAAAAAAGAUUUAGGUUUUAUUGUUUUAACUAAUAAACUCUACCAACACAUUUUAAAUUGACUUCAAAAAUCAUAAAAUGCAUAACUUUAUUGUAUAUCAAUAAGAAAUUCAGCAAAACUAGAUUUCAAAUCUCCUAGACUCCUAGUUCUUUUAAUUCAUUUUGAUAAUUUUGGUUUGUGUAACGAAAAAUGCAGGCCGCAUUGCUGGUUCCUCAACCGAAUUCACUUUACAAAACAAUUGCCCUUACACAGUCUGGCCGGGAAUUUUCUCCGGCAACGGAAACGACAUCCUCGCCGACGGUGGUUUUCAAUUAAAUCCAGGCGCUUCCGUACAGCUCACCGCUCCUUCUGGAUGGGCAGGCCGUAUUUGGGCUCGUACCGGCUGCAACUUCAGCUCAUCCGGCCAAGGCAAAUGCGCCACCGGAGAUUGUGGUGGCGUUCUUAAAUGUGCUGGCGGCGGGGUUCCUCCAGUCACAUUGGCCGAAUUCACCAUCGGAGUCACUGAUUUCUACGACGUGAGUCUCGUCGACGGCUACAAUGUCAAGAUUGGGAUAAAACCACAAGGAGGUACUGGAGACUGCAAAUACGCAGGCUGCGUCUCCGACCUCAACGCCAUUUGUCCUAACGAGCUUCGUGUCAUGGAUCCACAGAACAACGUGGUGGCGUGCAAAAGCGCCUGCGAUGCGUUUAGCAAGCCGGAAUAUUGCUGCACGGGAGCUUUCGAUAAGCCGGAAACUUGUCCUCCGACGGAUUACUCGAGGAUCUUCAAGAAAGCUUGUCCUAACGCUUACAGCUACGCCUAUGACGACGCAACAAGCACCUUCACUUGUUCCCGGUCUAACUACUUGAUCACUUUCUGCCCUUAAAAAUCCGGAGCUCUGGUUUAGACUCGGGUCGAGUUUGACUCCUUUAUUAUGUUUAUUUUGGUUUCUUGCUAUGUAAGGAAGAUGAAAUUAAAGAA
This 2354-nucleotide long non-coding RNA is filed under the name Brassica napus (rape). RNAcentral's name for it is "long non-coding RNA (BNAP_LNC006413)". The record is from RNAcentral. Lineage: Eukaryota; Viridiplantae; Streptophyta; Magnoliopsida; Brassicales; Brassicaceae.